UUCGCCAGGGAACAACGAGCCCCAGCUUAAAACCCAAAGGACUUGGCGGUGCUUUAGACCCCCCUAGAGGAGCCUGUUCUAGAAUCGAUACUCCCCGUUCAACCUCACCCCCUCUUGUCAUUCCCGCCUAUAUACCACCGUCGUCAGCUUACCCUGUGAAGGAUUAAUAGUAAGCAAAAGUGGCAAAGCCUUAAACGUCAGGUCAAGGUGUAGCGAACGUGGGGGGAAGAAAUGGGCUACAUUUGCUGACCCAGCAAACACGAACGCUGCACUGAAAUAAGCAUCUGAAGGAGGAUUUAGCAGUAAGAGAAGAAUAGAACGCCUCUCUGAAGACGGCCCUGAAGCGCGCACACACCGCCCGUCACUCUCCCCAAAACGAAAAACAGAUAAAUAAUAAGAUAACUAUUAACAAGGGGAGGCAAGUCGUAACAUGGUAAGUAUACCGGAAGGUGUACUUGGAAAACC
This 465-nucleotide ribosomal RNA is filed under the name Benthophilus sp. NMBE 1066575. RNAcentral's name for it is "partial 12S ribosomal RNA". It matches the Rfam family "Bacterial small subunit ribosomal RNA", at positions 868 to 1527 of the family's 1533-position model. Lineage: Eukaryota; Metazoa; Chordata; Actinopteri; Gobiiformes; Gobiidae. The record is from RNAcentral.